GACGAACGCUGGCGGCGUGCUUAACACAUGCAAGUCGAACGGAAAGGCCCUGCUUUUGUGGGGUGCUCGAGUGGCGAACGGGUGAGUAACACGUGAGUAACCUGCCCUUGACUUUGGGAUAACUUCAGGAAACUGGGGCUAAUACCGGAUAGGAGCUCCUGCUGCAUGGUGGGGGUUGGAAAGUUUCGGCGGUUGGGGAUGGACUCGCGGCUUAUCAGCUUGUUGGUGGGGUAGUGGCUUACCAAGGCUUUGACGGGUAGCCGGCCUGAGAGGGUGACCGGCCACAUUGGGACUGAGAUACGGCCCAGACUGCUACGGGAGGCAGCAGUGGGGAGUAUUGCACAAUGGGCGGAAGCCUGAUGCAGCGACGCCGCGUGCGGGAUGACGGCCUUCGGGUUGUAAACCGCUUUCGCCUGUGACGAAGCGUGAGUGACGGUAAUGGGUAAAGAAGCACCGGCUAACUACGUG
RNAcentral lists this ribosomal RNA (468 nucleotides) under uncultured bacterium. RNAcentral's name for it is "partial 16S ribosomal RNA". It matches the Rfam family "Bacterial small subunit ribosomal RNA", at positions 28 to 507 of the family's 1533-position model. The record is from RNAcentral.